GGGUGAUCCGAAGGGACCUUUCAAAAUUUUCGUUGAUGCAUUGGCCCAGGUACGGCACAGUAAUGACUCUGUCAGCUGUCAACCGCUUUUAGCCGCCUGCGGUGGCGAGUGGGACACGUGGCGAGCGUGGGUCAGCCUAGGGAGAUCCACGAUCAUCAUAGUGCUGGAUCCCAGGGUCUAUUUAAACCCGCCUUUCCGCCUUC
Molecule: long non-coding RNA, 203 nt
Filed under: Elaeis guineensis (African oil palm)
Lineage: Eukaryota; Viridiplantae; Streptophyta; Magnoliopsida; Arecales; Arecaceae
Description: long non-coding RNA (EGUI_LNC064186)
Source: RNAcentral